CUUGCUAAGGCCGAUGGCGACCGGCGCACGGGUGAGUAACACGUAUCCAACCUGCCGAUAACUCGGGGAUAGCCUUUCGAAAGAAAGAUUAAUAUCCGAUAGUAUAUUAAAACCGCAUGGUUUUACUAUUAAAGAAUUUCGGUUAUCGAUGGGGAUGCGUUCCAUUAGGUUGUUGGCGGGGUAACGGCCCACCAAGCCUUCGAUGGAUAGGGGUUCUGAGAGGAAGGUCCCCCACAUUGGAACUGAGACACGGUCCAA
RNAcentral lists this ribosomal RNA (258 nucleotides) under uncultured bacterium. Its description in RNAcentral is "partial 16S ribosomal RNA". It matches the Rfam family "Bacterial small subunit ribosomal RNA", at positions 76 to 334 of the family's 1533-position model. The record is from RNAcentral.